RNAcentral lists this unclassified non-coding RNA (342 nucleotides) under uncultured fungus. Its description in RNAcentral is "partial contains ITS1, 5.8S rRNA and ITS2". The record is from RNAcentral. Lineage: Eukaryota; Fungi.
AACGCAUAUUGCGCUUUAUGGUAUUCCGUAAAGCAUGCCUGUUUGAGAAUCAUUUUACUCUUCACCCUUGGGUGGACUUGGGCCUUCACACUGCAAAGUGCGUGGCCUUAAAGACAUUGUUUGGCUAAAGGUUCUUGACGGAACUAGCGAUGCAUUACCACUUGGGGCUCUGCUUCAUUUUUGCCUAGCUACUCCAUCAUCAAGUCCCUGGUCGGUCAACCUAACAACGGUGGUUUACCACCGACGUAUCGGACUCUGCGACGGCCGGCGCUCUAGCAGCAACAGCCCAGCGAGUCUUGAUGACUUGGUCUCAAAUCAGGCAAGAGUACCCGCUGAACUUAA